UACGUAGGUGGCGAGCGUUAUCCGGAAUGAUUGGGCGUAAAGGGUGCGUAGGUGGUUUCUUAAGUCAGAGGUGAAAGGCUACGGCUCAACCGUAGUAAGCCUUUGAAACUGGGGAACUUGAGUGCAGGAGGGGAGAGUGGAAUUCCUAGUGUAGCGGUGAAAUGCGUAGAUAUUAGGAGGAACACCAGUUGCGAAGGCGGCUCUCUGGACUGUAACUGACACUGAGGCACGAAAGCGUGGGGAGCAAACAGG
RNAcentral lists this ribosomal RNA (252 nucleotides) under uncultured bacterium. RNAcentral's name for it is "partial 16S ribosomal RNA". It matches the Rfam family "Bacterial small subunit ribosomal RNA", at positions 524 to 776 of the family's 1533-position model. The record is from RNAcentral.